Molecule: non-coding RNA, 938 nt
Filed under: Pongo abelii (Sumatran orangutan)
Lineage: Eukaryota; Metazoa; Chordata; Mammalia; Primates; Hominidae
Source: RNAcentral
UUGGAAAAGCAUAAACUUAAGGCAUCACCUUUACAGAAAAUAUCUUCCAUGGAAACAUCUAAAGGCAAAAAUCCUUCAAAUUCAAAUUUAUCCAAUCAUUUCUUCUGCUUACUACCAUCCUAAAUCAUUUUUCUUUAGUAAGAUCUAUUAGUGUGAAGCUAUUAAGCUAUUAAUGUAAGUAUCAUAUUAAUGUAUUAAGAUAUUAAGUGAGGAAGUAAAGUUGCAUUCAUAGGCCUUGAACUUUUCCACAUCUCGAUUUUUACCCAUCAUCUCUGCAUAUUUUCCUAAGGCAGCCUUCAAAUGGUGAUGUUUCCUGUCAUCCAGAGUUCAGAAGUGCCUUCUCUUCAACCUUUCUGUGGAAUUCUAAACCACGUGAUAAAGGAGCUGGUGGUGGGAAGUAAGGGAAGGAGGGGAUGAAGAGGAAUGGGCAGAAGUUUUUGGAGAGGAAUAACCCACUGAGAUUGCCAGGGAAGAUUCAUUUUGACAUUAUUUUCAUGUAUUCAAUGCAAUCAAAAAAGAAUCCACAGCUAACCAUAGCCAGAUUUCCUUCUGCACCAGAGCCUGUGGAAGCGCCACAGCGGAAGCACAGAGACUGGAAGAGCAGGCAAGAAGCUGGGAGCUUUGCACUGAACCAGGAAGACAUCACAGCUCUUAGGCGAAGACCCGGAAAGGUGUCAACAUGGCCACACUACUGCUCCCACCUUGUCCUUAUUUUCCUCAUCUCUCCCCACAGGCCACAGAUCAGCCCUGGGGUUCAGAGGGAUCCUGACGGCUACUCCUCAAGAUCCUCUCUGUUGUGAUUCAUCCCCCCCAGGCCCUACAGUUUCUCCUUCCUGACUCUUACAUUUCUUUGGAUGGCAUCACUAUUUACCUGUCUCCUCCCAUAGUUAGUUGCCAAGCACUGUGGAUUCUACCCCUCAGGGUCCAGACACCCAUUU